Molecule: non-coding RNA, 1689 nt
Organism: Pimephales promelas (fathead minnow)
Lineage: Eukaryota; Metazoa; Chordata; Actinopteri; Cypriniformes; Leuciscidae
Source: RefSeq, a predicted model, not a curated record
AGAUGUCCAAAUAGUUUGCAUUUCUUUUUUCCAUUAGGCUGCUAUUACAUUGGUUAAUUAAAUGUGCAAAGACAUGCCCAAUUUCCAGUUUACAAACUGUGUGAGCAGAUUUAUCAGAUCAUCUAGCAAGCGGAAAAGGUGGGGUAAAUAAAUGACUCUAAAUGUUCGCUUGGUUGUUGCACUGUCAUGUCUUUCUUGUGCACUUUUUCCUCUUAAAAAAGACCCAACGCUAAAGGAAAACAUGAGACUUCUGUCAGCUGCUGGUUACUUAGUGUUUCUUUCCUCCUUGUUCACACAUGGAGCAUUUGAAAGUGCGAAUCAGUAUGAAUCAGUCAAAGAUUCUCACUCACAUGCUUCUCUAGAAGUCCGGCCUGACAGCAAACAACACCUAAGUGGGCAAAAGUUCACCCUUCGCUGCUCAGUAAAUACUGGUAAUUCAACAGGCUGGAUACUGAGGCGUCAAGGUGCUAAAGGUAGUUCUGGAUGUUUGCAGUUGAAUGGCACAGAAUCUACAGACAGGCCUGAAGAAUGUCAUUUCAUUGACAUUGACAGUAAGAACAGUGGACUUUACUGGUGUGAGAAUAUUGCUGAAAACAAGACAAGCAACUCUAUCAACAUCACCGUGGUCUAUGGUACAGUAAUUCUCCUGAUGAGCACACUUCAUCCAGUGAUGAAAGUUUUGUUACUUUUUGUCUUUAGAGAACUCCACUGAUGAUUCAGAUGAUGAAAAGCCAUAUACAGGAACUUUGAUCUGGGUGUCGGGGCUCUGCAUCACCUUGGUUCUUCUGGUGCUUCUUCCUGUGCUCUGGCUGCUGUUUCCAGGUUUUAGAGAGAAAUUGCAUGUCUGUCCAAAUGAGGCAUUUAGAAGGGAAAGGGUCCAACAGGAAAUGCCUAAAACCAAGCAGGACGUGACUGAAAUCCAGUGGGAUCUUCCCUGGAUGGAGAUGGAAAAUUUGUUGGACAAGCAACAAAAUCCUGGCCGAUAAACAUUCCUCACUUCAAAUGUGGAUGUUAUCAGAUACAAAUAGUCACUGUGCUUUAUAAAGUGAGUCAUGGGCAAAAUGACAGAUGAAUAAAGAGGCCGAUACCCGAUACUGAUAUAUGGAAUUGUUUUCAGUUGAAUAAUUGUUAUCGGCUUUAGAUAUGGGGUUAGAGGUAUUUAAGGAAUAAUUACUUACAUCAGCUGUUUGUUUAUUUAUUAUCUGUUUAUUUGCAAAAUGAAUAUUGAUUUAAAUUUUUGAGUGGUUUAACAUAUAAAACCUGCAAAGGAUGGCAGGUAAGCUGAUGAUGAACAUAUUUUGUAGAUAUAGGAUUAUUUUAAAGUGCAGUGUUGACAUAGAACACAUUUAUUUAAAUAAAUAAAUAAUGAAUAACUGAGAAGAAUCAUGCAUCAAAAAUUUACUGAAAAUGCUAAUGUAGUUUAUGUUGACAUUGUGACAUUUGAUAAACUGUUUAAUGCCAUAAAAAGUCAAUUUCUGUAUACUAAAAGUAUUCUUUUAUGAUUUACAUUUUAAAAGGACAUUUUAGUAGACAUGCUGUAAAGUAAACAAAACACUUUCAAGAAUGUAAGCAUUUCUAAACAUAUUGUUAAUUUAAAUAAGUACAUUUUAAAAAUGCACUAGUAGGCCUAUAUGUACGAUUAAAAAAUAUGCUAACAAAAAACUUAUUUAUCUUGUGAAUUAUCAUGUA